ACAAUUACCCGGAUCAUCCUUUAUGCAUAUUAUUAAUUAAAACGAAGAACAACAAGUUAUGGAAUCAUACUCUUGUAGAUUCGAGCUUCCACAUGUACGAGUUCACCUCCUACUUCUUCGCGUUCUCCUUGAAUCUCCGGGUAGAUUCCUUCCUUUGAUCAAUGUUAGCCACCCAAUUGUAUGGCCUCUAGAGGUGAUCC
This 200-nucleotide long non-coding RNA is filed under the name Panax ginseng (ginseng). RNAcentral's name for it is "long non-coding RNA (PGIN_LNC012900)". Lineage: Eukaryota; Viridiplantae; Streptophyta; Magnoliopsida; Apiales; Araliaceae. The record is from RNAcentral.